Molecule: ribosomal RNA, 384 nt
Filed under: Burkholderia sp. NG3
Lineage: Bacteria; Pseudomonadati; Pseudomonadota; Betaproteobacteria; Burkholderiales; Burkholderiaceae
Description: bacterial SSU rRNA
Rfam family: Bacterial small subunit ribosomal RNA
Source: RNAcentral
AGAGGAGGCUGUGCCCGAAAGGGAGCCGUAACACAGGUGCUGCAUGGCUGUCGUCCGCUCGUGUCGUGAGAUGUUGGGUUAAGUCCCGCAACGAGCGCAACCCUUGUCCCUAGUUGCUACGCAAGAGCACUCCAGGGAGACUGCCGGUGACAAACCGGAGGAAGGUGGGGAUGACGUCAAGUCCUCAUGGCCCUUAUGGGUAGGGCUUCACACGUCAUACAAUGGUCGGAACAGAGGGUUGCCAAGCCGCGAGGUGGAGCCAAUCCCAGAAAACCGAUCGUAGUCCGGAUCGCAGUCUGCAACUCGACUGCGUGAAGCUGGAAUCGCUAGUAAUCGCGGAUCAGCAUGCCGCGGUGAAUACGUUCCCGGGUCUUGUACACACCG